Molecule: unclassified non-coding RNA, 205 nt
Filed under: Hevea brasiliensis (rubber tree)
Lineage: Eukaryota; Viridiplantae; Streptophyta; Magnoliopsida; Malpighiales; Euphorbiaceae
Source: RNAcentral
UGUGAACAAGUGUGGCAAGCUUUCUGAAAUUGCAUUGCAAAAGAUAUCAAAAUCGUAUCUCAUAAUAAGGGUAAGAAAAUUGAUAAGUGUGUGCUUUUGCGCACACACAGAUCAGAAAGCAUCAAAGUUAACAUAGUUCAAAGAAACAAGACCAGUAUCCAUGAACAACUAAAAGAAAAAAAAUGUUAUUGAGCAUAGCUUGACA